RNAcentral lists this ribosomal RNA (263 nucleotides) under uncultured archaeon. RNAcentral's name for it is "partial 16S ribosomal RNA". It matches the Rfam family "Archaeal small subunit ribosomal RNA", at positions 718 to 982 of the family's 1478-position model. The record is from RNAcentral.
AGUCACUGACAUUAGAUACCCCGGUAGUCCCAGCCGUAAACGAUGUGCGUUAGGUGUAUCGACGACCACGAGUUGUCGAGGUGCCGAAGGGAAACCGUGAAACGUACCGCCUGGGAAGUACGGUCGCAAGGCUGAAACUUAAGGAAUUGGCGGGGAGCACCACAACAGGUGGAGCCUGCGGUUUAAUUGGACUCAACGCCGGACAUCUCACCGGAUAAGACAGCUGAAUGAUUGCCGGGCUGAAGACUCUGCAUGACUAGCUG